RNAcentral lists this transfer RNA (72 nucleotides) under Candidatus Parcubacteria bacterium. RNAcentral's name for it is "tRNA-Ile". It matches the Rfam family "tRNA". Rfam says of the family: Transfer RNA (tRNA) molecules are approximately 80 nucleotides in length. The record is from RNAcentral. Lineage: Bacteria; Candidatus Parcubacteria.
GCGCCCGUGGCUCAGUGGUAGAGCAUCCGCCUUAUAAGCGGGGGGUCGGUGGUUCGAUCCCACCCGGGCGCA